UACGGGAGGGCAGCAGUGGGGAAUAUUGCACAAUGGGCGCAAGCCUGAUGCAGCCAUGCCGCGUGUAUGAAGAAGGCCUUCGGGUUGUAAAGUACUUUCAGUCGUGAGGAAGGUGUUAAGGUUAAUAACCUUAGCAAUUGACGUUAGCGACAGAAGAAGCACCGGCUAACUCCGUGCCAGCAGCCGCGGUAAUACGGAGGGUGCGAGCGUUAAUCGGAAUUACUGGGCGUAAAGGGCACGCAGGCGGUUAAUUAAGUUGGAUGUGAAAUCCCCGGGCUUAACCUGGGAAUGGCAUUCAAGACUGGUUAGCUAGAGUCUUGUAGAGGGGGUAGAAUUCCAUGUGUAGCGGUGAAAUGCGUAGAGAUGUGGAGGAAUACCGGUGGCGAAGGCGGCCCCUGGGACAAAGGACUGACGCUCAUGUGCGAAAGCGUGGGGAGCAAACAGGGAUUAGAUACC
Molecule: ribosomal RNA, 456 nt
Filed under: uncultured bacterium
Lineage: Bacteria
Description: bacterial SSU rRNA
Rfam family: Bacterial small subunit ribosomal RNA
Source: RNAcentral